RNAcentral lists this ribosomal RNA (301 nucleotides) under uncultured bacterium. RNAcentral describes it as "partial 16S ribosomal RNA". It matches the Rfam family "Bacterial small subunit ribosomal RNA", at positions 509 to 809 of the family's 1533-position model. The record is from RNAcentral.
CAGUAGCCGCGGUAAUACGAAGGGUGCAAGCGUUACUCGGAAUUACUGGGCGUAAAGCGUGCGUAGGCGGCUUUUUAAGUCGGAUGUGAAAUCCCUGAGCUUAACUUAGGAAUUGCAUUCGAUACUGGGAAGCUAGAGUAUGGGAGAGGAUGGUAGAAUUCCAGGUGUAGCGGUGAAAUGCGUAGAGAUCUGGAGGAAUACCGAUGGCGAAGGCAGCCAUCUGGCCUAAUACUGACGCUGAGGUACGAAAGCAUGGGGAGCAAACAGGAUUAGAUACCCCUGUAGUCCCUGUCUCUUAUAA